RNAcentral lists this long non-coding RNA (736 nucleotides) under Ceratitis capitata (Mediterranean fruit fly). Its description in RNAcentral is "uncharacterized LOC110118173, transcript variant X2". The record is from RNAcentral. Lineage: Eukaryota; Metazoa; Arthropoda; Insecta; Diptera; Tephritidae.
GAAAAGUUUAAUUGGAGUGUGCUUUGUUUUUAAAAAUUCAAAAUCCGUUUUUUGUUCUUUUAAAAAAAUCGUACCCAAAUAAAAUUGCUUCUGCAGUUUUCUGAGUGACUGCUCCAGCUUCGAGUUCCCUCGAAGUGUGAUUUCUGCAAGUCGACCAGUUCCGGUGAUUCCGAGAUGUAGUGAGUGCGAUGGACGGAAGAGAAUAGGUCAUUAAGAAAUCCACUAUAGCCGUCAUAUAAAGAAACGCAAUUAUCCAGAUGUGCGGCGAUGAACUCAAAGCAAGCAACUUAGAAUUUCUGGGUCCUGUUACAACUGGGAAUCAGCUAUCCAUAUCAAACGAGAGCUUUCUCCUGGUAAGACGUGUUGAUGAUUUUCCAGCAAACUCUAAGCCACCUCCGUAGGACUGAGGAAUUUUGAAGAUACCACUUUCGGCUGCUGUUGACUUCGUCUGACGUUUUUCUAACGAACCUGCCCACACUUCAUAGCGUGUUUGGGAAUUUUUCUUCCAAUAUAAAAAUGUUUUCGAUACCACAGCUCCCAUAUGAGCCAGAAACUGCACCAAACUUUAUGGCUGGUUUUAAGGUUGUAGAUGGCAUUAAAAAAGCAUCGUUGAAAGAACUGAAGAUCGGAUUUAAGGAGUUUCGGGGAUUGGAAUAUUCGCUGGCAAAAGUACACAACCUCUAUUGAAGAAUUCUUCCGAGACCACAACAACAAUUUUUUUUUAUAUAAUGUUUUA